AAGUGGAGCAAUCCAUGAGUAUAGUGGCGACCGGGUGAGUAACACGUGACUACCUGCCCUUGAGUGGGGGAUAACCUCGGGAAACCGAGGCUAAUACCGCAUAAAAUCGAAAGAUCAAAGGAGCAAUCCGCUUUUGGAGGGGGUCGCGGCUGAUUAGCUAGUUGGUAGGGUAAUGGCCUACCAAGGCGAAGAUCGGUAUCCGGCCUGAGAGGGCGCACGGACACACUGGAACUGAAACACGGUCCAGACUCCUACGGGAGGCAGCAGUGGGGAAUUUUGCGCAAUGGGGGAAACCCUGACGCAGCAACGCCGCGUGGAGGAUGAAGCCCCUUGGG
Molecule: ribosomal RNA, 335 nt
Filed under: uncultured bacterium
Lineage: Bacteria
Description: bacterial SSU rRNA
Rfam family: Bacterial small subunit ribosomal RNA
Source: RNAcentral